CUUCUCUUUGUAGUGCUCCACUGAACUUUCCACAUGGAGAUGUUGCCAACAUUGGAAGAUUCAUUUCCUGCACCGCCGCCAUAUUUUUUAUCAGAUGGUGCCCCAAAGAAAACUUCUGGCGUUUACAUAGUCAACCCCUGUGAUAAACGGCCUCAACAGCAAACUUCCAUUGGGCCACCUUCUGCAGACCCUGAUAAUCCUCUAGUAAGGAUCAGGGGACAUAAGACUGACCCAUGUCGAGCUCCAGCCCUGAUGACUUGCAGCUUCUGUCAAAGUCAGGUUACCACGGAGGUCACUUUCCGAGUGGGGACUUUUGCUUGGCUAAUGUGUUUCCUAUUUGUGCUUUGUGGGUUGAUUCUUGGUUGUUGCCUGAUUCCUUUUUUUAUAAACCACUUCAAGGAUGCCUGCCACAUAUGUCCACAUUGUCACCAUGUUCUUCAUGUGGAGAGGAGGACAUUCUUCAAAUGAUGACUCCUCAACCAGCGUGUUCAAGUCAAGUUUUAUGUUUGGUUGUGUAACAAAAAAUCCCUUCAGUAAAACUGCAAUAUUUAAAUAGAUUUUAAUCUCAUUUUAAAAAAAAUAUAUGAAUAAAUGUUUUUCUGUGACCUAGUCUUGGCUUUUUUUCAAAGAAAAAUAUAAACGGUACAUUUUUAUGGGUUUUGAUGUUGUACUUUUCCAUGACCAAGUUUGUUAGCCUGUCACCAGAUGUAAUUAUAAAAAGGAUUAAACAAUUUUCUAAUGAUUUUAAGCUUCUACCUGAAGUAGCUGUUGAAAAAAAGAAAUGAAUCGUUACACCGUCUGCCAUCGGAAGAUUGCAAAAUAGAACUGCUUCUGCAACCUUUAGGAUAAACUUCUGCCAAAACGUGUGUGUAUAUGCAUCUAUAUUAAAUCCUGAUGCUAGCACAUUGCAAAGGAAAUGUAAAAGUGCAAACCUUUCUAGAGAUUUCAGGAAAAAAGGUGAGAUUAGAAGUAAGUGAAUGUCUAAAAGACAAGGGAGGCCACUGGAUCUGCAAACCAGUGAAGAUGAGGAAAAUUAUGUCUUAAGAGAUUUCCAUGUCGGACUGCAUUGCAGAAGAAACUGAAGACAGAAAGUCAGGGAAUCUGGACCAUCUGAAAUGUAAUUCUCUGUAUAAAUUCAGUUGAGGGCGAUUAGAUUUGGUUUUCUUUGAGAUGUUUUGCUGCCCAACACAAUUGACGUUCUCUCCUAAAAGUGAUGACUGAAAACAGUCCUGUAUGGUAAUAAUUCUUUUUGGAGCAUUUUUUUUCUUGACUGGCCUGUACCAAAAAGUUGUCUUUGUUUUUAGAAAAGAAAAUUAUGCUAAAUGUUUUGCUAAUUUUUUUUCUUUGAUUCUAUUUAUUUCAAUAAAGAGCUCCAGCUUUAUACAGGAAUAUGGGUUUUUCUACCCACUAAUAUCAAUGACUGCUUCUUUAGCAGGGCAGUGGGAGCGAUUUAGCCACAUGGUCUCGCCGUGUGAACACGUAAGGGUUACACUGAGGAUGGAAGCCCUUCUGUAAACUGCUAGUCUAGUUAAGCUAAAAGCAAUAAAAAGCCCUGCCGUCUAAGUCAGCCUACCAUUUGUACCAUACUGUGGAUAAUUAAUUUUGUCGGAUAAUUUUGUAAUGGCAAUAUUUUCUACGUUUUUUAAUAUUUCAUUUAACAGUUUCCUAAAAUAUACCUGUUAAGUUGUGCUUAAAAUGUUUGGUUAAUUCACUCAUAUCUUUUAUAACUAUUUUCUGUUUCUGCUGAUCUAUGCUUUAAGAAAUCUUUAUAUAGUGUUGACUUUUAUUUUAUAGGCAUUCUUUUGUGAUCCACGAAGACUUUGAAUAUUUACCUUUUCUUGUGUAUGUUUUAUUGGACAUUCUUUGUUUCUUUGAUGUUUAGGAAUGCUUCUAAAGCUGAGCUAUGGUUUUUCCUGAUAUAUUGACUCCAGAUUUAAACUAAGCAGAUCUUCUCUAAAUCUAAUCAUUGACUCCUCUGUUCUUAUUAUUUUGUACCUGCGUGUCAUCCUUACCAGUUUGCCUUUAACAGUUGACAUAGACUAUAGCUACCAGGAGAUGGUCACUCAUAUCCUUAUAAGA
Molecule: long non-coding RNA, 2079 nt
Organism: Cyprinodon tularosa
Lineage: Eukaryota; Metazoa; Chordata; Actinopteri; Cyprinodontiformes; Cyprinodontidae
Exons: 4
Source: RefSeq, a predicted model, not a curated record